UAGAACGAACGCUGGCGGCGCGUCUUAAGCAUGCAAGUCGGACGGCAAGGGUUGUGCUGCACAACUCCUAGAGUGGCGGACUGGUGAGUAACGCGUGGGUGACCUGCCCUCGAGAUGGGGAUAGCCAGUUAGAAAUAGUGGAAUAAUACCGAAUACGCUCAUGACCCUGUGGGGAUAUGAGGAAAACAGGCUACGGCCUGGCUCGAGGAUGGGCCCGCGUCCCAUUAGCUAGUUGGUGAGGUAACGGCCCACCAAGGCGACGAUGGGUAUCCGGCCUGACGAGGGUGUACGGACACAUUGGGACUGAGACACGGCCCAGACUCCUACGGGAGGCAGCAGUGGGGAAUAUUGCACAAUGGGGGAAACCCUGAUGCAAGCAACGCCGCGUGAGUGAUGACGGCCUUCGGGUUGUAAAGCUCUGUCUUCAGGGACGUAUAAUGACGGUACCUGAGGAGGAAGCCACGGCUAACUACGUGCCAGCCGCAGC
This 487-nucleotide ribosomal RNA is filed under the name uncultured bacterium. Its description in RNAcentral is "bacterial SSU rRNA". It matches the Rfam family "Bacterial small subunit ribosomal RNA", at positions 26 to 518 of the family's 1533-position model. The record is from RNAcentral.